RNAcentral lists this ribosomal RNA (909 nucleotides) under uncultured bacterium. RNAcentral describes it as "bacterial SSU rRNA". It matches the Rfam family "Bacterial small subunit ribosomal RNA", at positions 33 to 933 of the family's 1533-position model. The record is from RNAcentral.
ACGCUAGCUAUAGGCUUAACACAUGCAAGUCGAGGGGAAACGGCAUUAUGUGCUUGCACAUUUUGGACGUCGACCGGCGCACGGGUGAGCAUCGCGUAUCCAACCUGCCCUUUACUUGGGGAUACCCCGUUGAAAGACGGCCUAAUACCCGAUGUAGUUCAUUGAUGGCAUCAGAUAUGAAUAAAAGAUUUAUCGGUAAAGGAUGGGGAUGCGUCUGAUUAGCUUGUUGGUGAGGUAAAGGCUCACCAAGGCGACGAUCAGUAGGGGUUCUGAGAGGAAGGUCCCCCACAUUGGAACUGAGACACGGUCCAAACUCCUACGGGAGGCAGCAGUGAGGAAUAUUGGUCAAUGGGCGCAAGCCUGAACCAGCCAAGUAGCGUGCAGGAAGACGGCCCUAUGGGUUGUAAACUGCUUUUAUACGAGAAUAAUUUGAUGCACGUGUGCGUUAUUGCAUGUAUCGUAUGAAUAAGGACCGGCUAAUUCCGUGCCAGCAGCCGCGGUAAUACGGAAGGUCCAGGCGUUAUCCGGAUUUAUUGGGUUUAAAGGGAGUGUAGGCGGUUUGUUAAGCGUGUUGUGAAAUUUAGGUGCUCAACAUUUAACUUGCAGCGCGAACUGUCAGACUUGAGUACACGCAACGUAUGCGGAAUUCAUGGUGUAGCGGUGAAAUGCUUAGAUAUCAUGAAGAACUCCGAUUGCGAAGGCAGCAUACGGGAGUGUAACUGACGCUUAAGCUCGAAGGUGCGGGUAUCGAACAGGAUUAGAUACCCUGGUAGUCCGCACAGUAAACGAUGGAUGCCCGCUGUUAGCGCCUGGCGUUAGCGGCUAAGCGAAAGCAUUAAGCAUCCCACCUGGGGAGUACGCCGGCAACGGUGAAACUCAAAGGAAUUGACGGGGGCCCGCACAAGCGGA